CUUACCAGGUCUUGACAUCCCUCUGACCGGCUUAGAGAUAAGCCUUUCCUUCGGGACAGAGGUGACAGGUGGUGCAUGGUUGUCGUCAGCUCGUGUCGUGAGAUGUUGGGUUAAGUCCCGCAACGAGCGCAACCCUUGAACUUAGUUGCCAGCAGGUUGAGCUGGGCACUCUAAGUUGACUGCCGGUGACAAACCGGAGGAAGGCGGGGAUGACGUCAAAUCAUCAUGCCCCUUAUGACCUGGGCUACACACGUACUACAAUGGCCGGUACAACGGGAAGCGAAGGAGCGAUCCGGAGCCAAUCCUAGAAAAGCCGGUCUCAGUUCGGAUUGCAGGCUGCAACUCGCCUGCAUGAAGUCGGAAUUGCUAGUAAUCGCGGAUCAGCAUGCCGCGGUGAAUACG
This 402-nucleotide ribosomal RNA is filed under the name Paenibacillus sp. SPT-83. Its description in RNAcentral is "bacterial SSU rRNA". It matches the Rfam family "Bacterial small subunit ribosomal RNA", at positions 970 to 1370 of the family's 1533-position model. RNAcentral also lists the same sequence under 1 other name. The record is from RNAcentral. Lineage: Bacteria; Bacillati; Bacillota; Bacilli; Caryophanales; Paenibacillaceae.